GUUUUUCGUACCAAAGUAAUGUGUUUUGAGAAUCCAACUCCAGUGGUCUAGUUUUAGAUACGAAAAACA
This 69-nucleotide transfer RNA is filed under the name Tracheophilus cymbius. RNAcentral's name for it is "tRNA-Gly". Lineage: Eukaryota; Metazoa; Platyhelminthes; Trematoda; Plagiorchiida; Cyclocoelidae. The record is from RNAcentral.